CCUACGGGAGGCAGCAGUGAGGAAUAUUGGUCAAUGGACGAGAGUCUGAACCAGCCAAGUAGCGUGAAGGAUGACUGCCCUAUGGGUUGUAAACUUCUUUUAUAUGGGAAUAAAAUGUUCCACGUGUGGGAUUUUGUAUGUACCAUAUGAAUAAGGAUCGGCUAACUCCGUGCCAGCAGCCGCGGUAAUACGGAGGAUCCGAGCGUUAUCCGGAUUUAUUGGGUUUAAAGGGAGCGUAGGUGGAUUGUUAAGUCAGUUGUGAAAGUUUGUGGCUCAACCGUAAAAGUGCAGUUGAAACUGGCAGUCUUGAGUACAGUAGAGGUGGGCGGAAUUCGUGGUGUAGCGGUGAAAUGCUUAGAUAUCACGAAGAACUCCGAUUGCGAAGGCAGUUCACUGGACUGCAACUGACACUGAGGCUCGAAAGUGUGGGUAUCAAACAGGAUUAGAUACCCCAGUAGUC
This 460-nucleotide ribosomal RNA is filed under the name uncultured bacterium. RNAcentral's name for it is "partial 16S ribosomal RNA". It matches the Rfam family "Bacterial small subunit ribosomal RNA", at positions 338 to 795 of the family's 1533-position model. The record is from RNAcentral.